AUUGAACGCUGGCGGCAUGCCUUACACAUGCAAGUCGAACGGCAGCACGGGAGCAAUCCUGGUGGCGAGUGGCGAACGGGUGAGUAAUAUAUCGGAACGUGCCCAGUCGUGGGGAUAACGUAGCGAAAGCUACGCUAAUACCGCAUACGAUCUAUGGAUGAAAGCGGGGGAUCGCAAGACCUCGCGCGAUUGGAGCGGCCGAUAUCAGAUUAGGUAGUUGGUGAGGUAAAGGCUCACCAAGCCGACGAUCUGUAGCUGGUCUGAGAGGACGACCAGCCACACUGGGACUGAGACACGGCCCAGACUCCUACGGGAGGCAGCAGUGGGGAAUUUUGGACAAUGGGCGCAAG
Molecule: ribosomal RNA, 350 nt
Filed under: uncultured bacterium
Lineage: Bacteria
Description: bacterial SSU rRNA
Rfam family: Bacterial small subunit ribosomal RNA
Source: RNAcentral